GUUUUACAGCUUGGUCACUGUCUGGUGACUAACUACCAGAAUAAAUAGCACUUACACAGUAUGUUUCAGUAGUCAGUACUCUUAGCUUGUUGGGGAAUCAGUAGAUAACGUCUCCUGCUUUCCUUACCAUGCGACAUGAAGGAUUCUGAAUGUCAAGUGCACUGACUCUCCGGAGAAUAAUCAGUGACUUGGAUUGGGUUUCAUACUGAAUACCAAGAAACUUGACUGAGAUAAGACUUCUCAUCAAAAUAUGUUGCAGAGAAUGUUGGCUUUGAAAGCUCAGGGAAGAAGCAGUAGGGGGAAAAACGUAACACAGUGGUAAGUAUCAUCAUGGUUUUUUUUCUUUUGAACCAGCAGCAUGUUUAUUAAAAUAUGUAAAC
This 380-nucleotide long non-coding RNA is filed under the name Gopherus agassizii (Agassiz's desert tortoise). RNAcentral's name for it is "lncRNA (ENSGAGG00000009191.1)". The record is from RNAcentral. Lineage: Eukaryota; Metazoa; Chordata; Testudines; Testudinidae.